GUGGGAAAGCUGCUGCUCUACCAGGUAAUUUCACCUGCACACCGAGGGAAACGUCAAGACACUUUUUUUUUUAGAGAGAUUGUGGCUAAGAUCCAAACUUUGAUGUGAAUUCAAGAAAAACCCAAAGAGGUGGUGAAGAAAGCUGGAUCUUCCUCAGAAAAAUUAGCUGAAUCAGCCGGUGAUGGUUCAAAUCUUCUGUUUUGUGCAGGGGUUGAAGAUGAUGAGGGAAAUGCUGUAGCUCCAAAAAUUGUCGCAGAUGAAGCCGUGAGCAACUUGAGCAGACCUCUUUGCUCUGAAACAAGCAAGAGAUCCAACGUCUGCGAAGCGGAAGGCGGUAUCAGAUUGCAGGGAAGCUCCCGAACCAUCUUCCUACACCCUUCUUUGGCAGAUCGAGAGUGGAAGAUCAAACCUUACUGCAGAAAGCAUGACCCCCCAGCCAUGAAGAAGGUCAAUGAGUGGACGAUGAAGCCUUUCCCCAGCGACAAGGCACCUCCUCGGUGCACCGCCAAGUACACGGUCCCGGCGCUGGUCUUCUCGAUCGGAGGAUUC
This 549-nucleotide long non-coding RNA is filed under the name Musa acuminata (dwarf banana). RNAcentral's name for it is "long non-coding RNA (MACU_LNC003119)". Lineage: Eukaryota; Viridiplantae; Streptophyta; Magnoliopsida; Zingiberales; Musaceae. The record is from RNAcentral.